AUACGGAGGAUCCGAGCGUUAUCCGGAUUUAUUGGGUUUAAAGGGUGCGCAGGCGGGAGAUUAAGUCGGCGGUGAAAUUUUGCAGCUCAACUGUAAAAGUGGCUUCCAAACUGGUUUCCUUGAGUGUAGAUGAAGUAGGCGGGAUUUGUGGUGUAGCGGUGAAAUGCAUAGAUAUCACGAGGAACUCCGAUUGCGCAGGCAGCUUACUAAACGACUACUGACGCUCAGGCACGAAGGCGGGGGGAUCAAACAGGAUUAGAUACCCUGGUAGUCCACGCAGUAAACGAUGAUUACUAGCUGUUUGCGAUACAAUGUAAGCGGCUGAGCGAAAGCGUUAAGUAAUCCACCUGGGGAGUACGUUCGCAAGAAUGGAACUCAAAGGAAUUG
Molecule: ribosomal RNA, 387 nt
Filed under: uncultured bacterium
Lineage: Bacteria
Description: partial 16S ribosomal RNA
Rfam family: Bacterial small subunit ribosomal RNA
Source: RNAcentral